ACGGAGGGUGCAAGCGUUAUCCGGAUUCACUGGGUUUAAAGGGUGCGUAGGUGGUCUGAUAAGUCAGCGGUGAAAGCCUGGAGCUCAACUCCAGAAUUGCCAUUGAUACUGUCGGACUUGAAUCAAGUUGAGGUGGAUGGAAUAUUACAUGUAGCGGUGAAAUGCUUAGAUAUGUAAUAGAACACCGAUUGCGAAGGCAGUUCACUAAGCUUGCAUUGACACUGAGGCACGAAAGCGUGGGGAUCAAACAGGA
This 253-nucleotide ribosomal RNA is filed under the name uncultured prokaryote. Its description in RNAcentral is "partial 16S ribosomal RNA". It matches the Rfam family "Bacterial small subunit ribosomal RNA", at positions 525 to 777 of the family's 1533-position model. The record is from RNAcentral.